UGGUCAAGUUAUUAAGGGUGCAGGGCGGAUGCCUUGGCACUAGGAGCCGAUGAAGGACGUGAUAAGCUGCAAUAAGCUUCGGGGAGUUGCACGUAAACUUUGAACAGAAGAUUUCCGAAUGCGGAAACUUAAUUAGGGUAAUUGCUAAGUAUCAUUAAGUGAAUACAUAGCUUAAUGAGGGGAACUCAGGGAACUGAAACAGCUAAGUACCUGAAGGAAGAGAAAGAAAUUCGAUUCCGUAAGUAGCGGCGAGCGAACGCGGAUUAGCCCAAACCAAUAAAGUUUUCUUUAUUGGGGUUGCGGACAUAUCAUAACGAAGAGGUAUCGUAAUUGAAGAGGUUUGGAAAGACCCACCACAGAAGGUAAUAGUCCUGUAUGUUAAACGAGAAGACUUUAGAUAUGAUCCAGAGUACCACGGGACACGUGAAACCC
Molecule: ribosomal RNA, 432 nt
Filed under: Clostridioides difficile
Lineage: Bacteria; Bacillati; Bacillota; Clostridia; Peptostreptococcales; Peptostreptococcaceae
Description: bacterial LSU rRNA
Rfam family: Bacterial large subunit ribosomal RNA
Source: RNAcentral